This 257-nucleotide unclassified non-coding RNA is filed under the name Glomus sp. Its description in RNAcentral is "partial internal transcribed spacer 2". The stretch from base 1 to 71 matches the Rfam family "5.8S ribosomal RNA", at positions 84 to 154 of the family's 154-position model. The record is from RNAcentral. Lineage: Eukaryota; Fungi; Glomeromycota; Glomeromycetes; Glomerales; Glomeraceae.
GUGAAUCAUCAAAUUUUUGAACGCAAAUUGCACUUUUUGGUAUUCCGGAAAGUAUGCCUGUUUGAUAUUCAGUGAAAUAAAAUUCUGUAUUGAUACUGCCUUUCUUUGUGACGCGUCUGAAUUGGGUCGUCUUACCUCCGGUUGAUGGACUUAAAAUUUUUGCAUUAUAUUCGAACGUAUUUAUAUCGCUUACGUACGUUGGAGAUAUCGAAUGUUUGUUAUGUUCGGUCAUUUCCAUGAUGCUCUCCUUUAAUUUU